CAGCAUGCUGAUUAAGGUUGCUUGGUUUUUUACUAAACAUUAACUGAAUGAAAACGGUAGUCCUUGUUCUGCUUGGGGGGCUUUAAGGAAGCAAAUGGACUUUCAGAACAGAGAUUGUCAAUAAAGGUCUCAGCAGCUUACUCAUGGAGAGGAGACAGCUCUGCUGCAAGAUUGUUUGUGUUUCUACAAUCUGAAGCACCAUACAAGAAACAGACUCUUUUCUCCUUGUGUAUCUGCAAACAGAAUGUCUGUGGGGAAGCAACCUUACAUCGAGAGAGACCUUGGGCAGGGAGAGGGAUGUGUACCAGAACUUGUAGAUCAUUCUAGAAAGCAUACAGGCAG
This 342-nucleotide long non-coding RNA is filed under the name Cricetulus griseus (Chinese hamster). Its description in RNAcentral is "lncRNA (ENSCGRG00015041782.1)". Lineage: Eukaryota; Metazoa; Chordata; Mammalia; Rodentia; Cricetidae. The record is from RNAcentral.